RNAcentral lists this transfer RNA (76 nucleotides) under Candidatus Veblenbacteria bacterium. RNAcentral describes it as "tRNA-Arg". It matches the Rfam family "tRNA". From Rfam's summary of the family: Transfer RNA (tRNA) molecules are approximately 80 nucleotides in length. Their secondary structure includes four short double-helical elements and three loops (D, anti-codon, and T loops). Further hydrogen bonds mediate the characteristic L-shaped molecular structure. tRNAs have two regions of fundamental functional importance: the anti-codon, which is responsible for specific mRNA codon recognition, and the 3' end, to which the tRNAs corresponding amino acid is attached (by aminoacyl-tRNA synthetases). tRNAs cope with the degeneracy of the genetic code in two manners: having more than one tRNA (with a specific anti-codon) for a particular amino acid; and 'wobble' base-pairing, i.e. permitting non-standard base-pairing at the 3rd anti-codon position. The record is from RNAcentral. Lineage: Bacteria; Candidatus Vebleniibacteriota.
GCCCUCGUAGCUCAAUGGAUAGAGCAGGCCGCUUCUAUCGGCAAGGUUGGGGGUCCGAUUCCCUCCGAGGGCACCA